AUGGGACAAAAAAUACAUCCGCUUGGUUUCAGACUUGGUACAACUCAAAGUCAUGAUUCUAUUUGGUUUGCACAACCAAGAAUUUAUUCCGAGAAUGUAAAAGAAGAUAAAAUAAUACGAGAUUGUAUCAAGAAUUAUAUACAAAAAAUACAAAAAACAACAACCGCUGUCGAUGGCGAGGGAAUUGGACGAAUAAAGAUUAAAAAAACACGCGAUCUGAUUCACGUGAUAAUCAAUAUGGGACUUCCAAACCCAAACUUAGAAUUCCAAAUGUUUAUAGAGACCCGAAUAUUCUUGCAGAAUUUCUAGCCAGACAAUUAAAGAAUAGAAUUCCGUUUCGUAAAGCAAUGCAAAAAACUAUAAAAAAAUUCGCUGAAGAGGCAGGUGCAGGUACAAAAGGAGUUCAAAUACAAAUUGCGGGACGCAUCGACGGAAACGAAAUUGCACGUGUCGAAUGGAUCAGAGAAGGUAGGAUUCCUCUACAAACCAUUCGAGCUAAAAUUGAUUAUUGUUCCUAUCCAGUUCGAACUAUUUAUGGGGUCUUAGGAAUCAAAGUUUGGAUAUUUAUAAACAACGACUAA
Molecule: non-coding RNA, 581 nt
Organism: Vicia faba (fava bean)
Lineage: Eukaryota; Viridiplantae; Streptophyta; Magnoliopsida; Fabales; Fabaceae
Source: the annotation of a GenBank genome assembly